AUUGAACGCUGGCGGCAGGCCUAACACAUGCAAGUCGAGCGGAUGAAGGGAGCUUGCUCCUGGAUUCAGCGGCGGACGGGUGAGUAAUGCCUAGGAAUCUGCCUGGUAGUGGGGGAUAACGUCCGGAAACGGGCGCUAAUACCGCAUACGUCCUGAGGGAGAAAGUGGGGGAUCUUCGGACCUCACGCUAUCAGAUGAGCCUAGGUCGGAUUAGCUAGUUGGUGGGGUAAAGGCCUACCAAGGCGACGAUCCGUAACUGGUCUGAGAGGAUGAUCAGUCACACGGGAACUGAGACACGGUCCAGACUCCUGCGGGAGGCAGCAGUGGGGAAUAUUGGACAAUGGGGGAAAGCCUGAUCCAGCCAGGCCGCGUGUGUGAAGAAGGUCUUCGGAUUGUAAAGCACUUUAAGUUGGGAGGAAGGGCAGUAAGUUGAUACCUUGCUGUUUUGACGUUACCAACAGAAUAAGCACCGGCUAACUUCGUG
Molecule: ribosomal RNA, 484 nt
Filed under: uncultured bacterium
Lineage: Bacteria
Description: partial 16S ribosomal RNA
Rfam family: Bacterial small subunit ribosomal RNA
Source: RNAcentral